This 253-nucleotide ribosomal RNA is filed under the name uncultured bacterium. RNAcentral's name for it is "partial 16S ribosomal RNA". It matches the Rfam family "Bacterial small subunit ribosomal RNA", at positions 524 to 776 of the family's 1533-position model. The record is from RNAcentral.
UACGUAGGGGGCGAGCGUUGUCCGGAUUUAUUGGGCGUAAAGAGCUCGUAGGUGGUUUGUCGCGUUGUCCGUGAAAACUCACAGCUUAACUGUGGGCGUGCGGGCGAUACGGGCAGACUGGAGUACUGCAGGGGAGACUGGAAUUCCUGGUGUAGCGGUGGAAUGCGCAGAUAUCAGGAGGAACACCGGUGGCGAAGGCGGGUCUCUGGGCAGUAACUGACGCUGAGGAGCGAAAGCGUGGGGAGCGAACAGG